Molecule: long non-coding RNA, 635 nt
Organism: Micropterus salmoides (largemouth bass)
Lineage: Eukaryota; Metazoa; Chordata; Actinopteri; Centrarchiformes; Centrarchidae
Exons: 3
Source: RefSeq, a predicted model, not a curated record
GAAGCAAAACAACAGUCCCACAUUAAAGGAAGAGAAGCACCUGCUUCCUUUCUCAGAAGCUUCACUUAAGUAAAAGUGAGACUGCUGUCCAGCCAGAUUCACAGCUUUUUAUGAGAGUGAAGAAUUUCAGUAACAUUAUGUGUAUGUCCUGGUGUGGUUAGCCUAGCUUAGCAUAAAGACUGGAAGCGGGGGGAAACUGUUAGCCUGGCUCUGUCCAAAGUUCAGAAGACAGCUUUAAAGUUCACUGACAGACACUUUAGAUCUAGUUUAGUUCAUCUGGACGCAACCAGAAAUGUGAAAAGGAUCAUUUAAAUAAACCAAAGUAUUUGUGUUUUUCUAGACGGCAGCUAAAGAAGACGAGCCAGAGAUUUGACUGUGGGACUCGCAUGACGAUAGAGCUCUGGAUCUGUCCACCUAAACGCAAAGUGUCCACCUGUGUGUGUUGCAGGGCGCGGCGGAGGCCGAGCUGGAGAAAGACUUGGAGAGGACCUUUAAGAUUUUCUUUUUCAGCAGCGGUGAAGCGGCGAAGCGUCCUGCCGUCAGCACCGCAGGAGUCUGCGCUCGAGGUGGUCUGUUUGUGGGUCUGCCGGAGCAGAUUCCCCGGAGCUCCGUGCUGACGGAGGCCGACCGAGUCG